CUACGGGUCGCUCCAGUGGGGAAUAUUGCACAAUGGGCGCAAGCCUGAUGCAGCAACGCCGCGUGGGGGACGAAGGCCUUCGGGUUGUAAACCUCUUUUAGUAGGGAAGAAGCGCAAGUGACGGUACCUACAGAAAAAGCACCGGCUAACUACGUGCCAGCAGCCGCGGUAAUACGUAGGGUGCAAGCGUUGUCCGGAAUUAUUGGGCGUAAAGAGCUCGUAGGCGGUUUGUCGCGUCUGCUGUGAAAAUCCGAGGCUCAACCUCGGACCUGCAGUGGGUACAGGCAAACUAGAGUGCGGUAGGGGAGAUUGGAAUUCCUGGUGUAGCGGUGGAAUGCGCAGAUAUCAGGAGGAACACCAAUGGCGAAGGCAGAUCUCUGGGCCGUAACUGACGCUGAGGAGCGAAAGCGUGGGGAGCGAACAGGAUUAGAUACCCUAGUAGUC
This 444-nucleotide ribosomal RNA is filed under the name uncultured bacterium. Its description in RNAcentral is "partial 16S ribosomal RNA". It matches the Rfam family "Bacterial small subunit ribosomal RNA", at positions 339 to 795 of the family's 1533-position model. The record is from RNAcentral.